CUACUGGGGUAUCUAAUCCUGUUUGCUCCCCAUGCUUUCGCGCCUCAGCGUCAGUUUCAGCCCAGUAAACCGUCUUCACCACCGGUGUUCUUCCACAUAUCUACGCAUUUCACCGCUACACGUGGAAUUCCGUUUACCCUAACUGAACUCUAGUCUUGCAGUUUCAAACGCCGCUCCGGGGUUGAGCCCCGGAAUUUCACGUCUGACUUAUAAGACCGCCUACGCGCCCUUUACGCCCAGUAAUUCCGAUCAAUGCUUGCACCCUCCGUAUUACCGCGGCUGCUGGCAC
This 289-nucleotide ribosomal RNA is filed under the name uncultured bacterium. RNAcentral describes it as "partial 16S ribosomal RNA". The record is from RNAcentral.